This 499-nucleotide non-coding RNA is filed under the name Pongo abelii (Sumatran orangutan). Lineage: Eukaryota; Metazoa; Chordata; Mammalia; Primates; Hominidae. The record is from RNAcentral.
AGCUGGCCAUCCGCACCAACUUCCAUGCCCGGGCACAGAGGCCUAGCUGCCCCGCCUUGUGCAUGGCUCAGACCAGCAAAAUUCCUUCUCCAAGAAAGUCUGGGUCUAUGUAUGAGACAGCCCACAGGAGGGCAAAUGUUUUGAGACUGCCCAUGGAGGUGAGGCCUGUGGUCCCCAUGGAGUCCACCAGGCUGGAGCAGCUUGGGAGAGAGACAUGAUAGGGAGUAGCUGCACCAGGCCUGGCACUGCCCUUCACUCUGCCCAAGGUCUCCAUCUUCACGGGCCCUGGAGGGCAGACUAUGUCAUUGGCCAAACAAGAUCUCAUAUCCCUCACAAAAGGGACUUCCUCCUUUACAGGGGCUAAGUGGUAGUGAGGAGGCUGGAGAGUCCCUCAAGCAGUGGUGGAAAUGCAAAGAACUCGGGGCACUCAAGUUCUCCCUAACCACUCUGUCCCCAGGUCUUAGCCUCCGUCCUAGUUCAAUAAAUAUUUGUUGAAUGC